Molecule: transfer RNA, 70 nt
Filed under: Rattus norvegicus (Norway rat)
Lineage: Eukaryota; Metazoa; Chordata; Mammalia; Rodentia; Muridae
Rfam family: tRNA
About the family: Transfer RNA (tRNA) molecules are approximately 80 nucleotides in length. Their secondary structure includes four short double-helical elements and three loops (D, anti-codon, and T loops).
Source: Rfam by way of RNAcentral
GGGGAUUUAGCUCAGCGGUAGAGCGCUUGCCUAGGGAGCACAAGGUCCUGGGUUCGGUCCCCAGCUCCCA